GCGGGAGUGGCGGAAUUGGCAGACGCGCUAGAUUUAGGAUCUAGUGUCCCUAGGACGUGCAGGUUCGAUUCCUGUCUCCCGCA
This 83-nucleotide transfer RNA is filed under the name Blastopirellula sp. RNAcentral's name for it is "tRNA-Leu". It matches the Rfam family "tRNA". Rfam says of the family: Transfer RNA (tRNA) molecules are approximately 80 nucleotides in length. Their secondary structure includes four short double-helical elements and three loops (D, anti-codon, and T loops). Further hydrogen bonds mediate the characteristic L-shaped molecular structure. tRNAs have two regions of fundamental functional importance: the anti-codon, which is responsible for specific mRNA codon recognition, and the 3' end, to which the tRNAs corresponding amino acid is attached (by aminoacyl-tRNA synthetases). tRNAs cope with the degeneracy of the genetic code in two manners: having more than one tRNA (with a specific anti-codon) for a particular amino acid; and 'wobble' base-pairing, i.e. permitting non-standard base-pairing at the 3rd anti-codon position. Lineage: Bacteria; Pseudomonadati; Planctomycetota; Planctomycetia; Pirellulales; Pirellulaceae. RNAcentral also lists the same sequence under 1 other name. The record is from RNAcentral.